AUUGAACGCUGGCGGCAGGCUUAACACAUGCAAGUCGAACGCCCCGCAAGGGGAGUGGCAGACGGGUGAGUAACGCGUGGGAAUCUACCGUACCCUACGGAACAACAGUUGGAAACGACUGCUAAUACCGUAUACGCCCUUAGGGGGAAAGAUUUAUCGGGGUAUGAUGAGCCCGCGUUGGAUUAGCUAGUUGGUGGGGUAAAGGCCUACCAAGGCGACGAUCCAUAGCUGGUCUGAGAGGAUGAUCAGCCACAUUGGGACUGAGACACGGCCCAAACUCCUACGGGAGGCAGCAGUGGGGAAUAUUGGACAAUGGGCGCAAGCCUGAUCCAGCCAUGCCGCGUGAGUGAUGAAGGUCUUAGGAUUGUAAAGCUCUUUCACCGAUGAAGAUAAUGACGGUAGUCGGAGAAGAAGCCCCGGCUAACUUCGUGCCAGCCGCCGCCGUAA
This 447-nucleotide ribosomal RNA is filed under the name uncultured bacterium. Its description in RNAcentral is "partial 16S ribosomal RNA". It matches the Rfam family "Bacterial small subunit ribosomal RNA", at positions 30 to 523 of the family's 1533-position model. The record is from RNAcentral.